This 484-nucleotide ribosomal RNA is filed under the name uncultured bacterium. Its description in RNAcentral is "partial 16S ribosomal RNA". It matches the Rfam family "Bacterial small subunit ribosomal RNA", at positions 30 to 507 of the family's 1533-position model. The record is from RNAcentral.
AUUGAACGCUGGCGGCAGGCCUAACACAUGCAAGUCGAGCGGAUGAAGGGAGCUUGCUCCUGGAUUCAGCGGCGGACGGGUGAGUAAUGCCUAGGAAUCUGCCUGGUAGUGGGGGAUAACGUCCGGAAACGGGCGCUAAUACCGCAUACGGCCUGAGGGAGAAAGUGGGGGAUCUUCGGACCUCACGCUAUCAGAUGAGCCUAGGUCGGAUUAGCUAGUUGGUGGGGUAAAGGCCUACCAAGGCGACGAUCCGUAACUGGUCUGAGAGGAUGAUCAGUCACACUGGAACUGAGACACGGUCCAGACUCCUACGGGAGGCAGCAGUGGGGAAUAUUGGACAAUGGGCGAAAGCCUGAUCCAGCCAUGCCGCGUGUGUGAAGAAGGUCUUCGGAUUGUAAAGCACUUUAAGUUGGGAGGAAGGGCAGUAAGUUAAUACCUUGCUGUUUUGACGUUACCAACAGGAUAAGCACCGGCUAACUUCGUG